This 1747-nucleotide ribosomal RNA is filed under the name human gut metagenome. Its description in RNAcentral is "bacterial LSU rRNA". It matches the Rfam family "Bacterial large subunit ribosomal RNA", at positions 601 to 2421 of the family's 2925-position model. The record is from RNAcentral.
GUACUUUUUGUAGAACGGUCCGGCGAGUUAUAGUAACGAGCAAGCUUAAGGUAUUCAGUACCGGAGGCGAAGCGAAAGCGAGUCUGAAUAGGGCGCAUGAAGUUCGUUGCCAUAGACCCGAAACCGGGUGACCUAACCAUGAGCAGGCUGAAGUGAGAGUAAAAUCUCAUGGAGGGCCGAACGCACGUUCGUUGCAAUGACCGGCGAUGACUUGUGGUUAGCGGAGAAAUUCCAAUCGAACUCGGAGAUAGCUGGUUCUCCCCGAAAUAGCUUUAGGGCUAGCGUUAGUUUAGAUUACCGGAGGUAAAGCACUGAAUGGUUUAGGGGCUGAUAAAGUUACCGACGCCUAUCAAACUCUGAAUGCCGGAUAAUUGAUGACUAGCAGUCAGACAGUGUGAGAUAAGUUUCAUUGUCAAAAGGGAAACAGCCCAGACCCACAGCUAAGGUCCCAAAUGUAUGCUAAGUGGAAAACGAUGUGGAAUUGCGAAAACAACCAGGAUGUUGGCUUAGAAGCAGCCACUCAUUAAAAGAGUGCGUAAUAGCUCACUGGUCGAGUGACUCUGCGCGGAAAAUAUAACGGGGCUAAGCAUGAAACCGAAGCUUGGGCUUGUCGUAAGACAGGGGUAGGGGAGCGUCGAGUAUGGGGUGAAGUCAGAGCGGAAGCACUGGUGGACUGUACUCGAGUGAGAAUGCCGGAAUGAGUAGCGAGAAUUAUGUGGGAAUCAUAAUGGCCGAAAAUCUAAGGUUUCUUGGGGAAGGUUCGUCCGCCCAAGGUAAGUCGGGAGCUAAGCUCAGGCCGAGAGGCGUAGGCGAUGCACAUACGGUAGAAAUUCCGUAACCACCGAAACUUAAACAGAGGGACACUUCGAAAUAGCGGAACCCGGGCGUUGGUUGACCCGGGCGAAAGGGAGCGAAAUAAGAGUAGCGAAGUCCGCGAUGUUCGGAGGCGAGAAAAGCUCUGAGGUAUGCUAAGGUGCCCGUACCGCAAACCGACACAGGUAGAUGAGGAGAGAAUCCUAAGGCCAACGGGAGAAGGGUUGUUAAGGAACUCGGCAAAUUGACCCCGUAACUUCGGAAGAAGGGGAGCCCCCUACGGGGGGUCGCAGAGAAAUGGCCCAAGCAACUGUUUACCAAAAACACAGGUCUAUGCUAAAUCGAAAGAUGACGUAUAUGGGCUGACGCCUGCCCGGUGCCGGAAGGUUAAGAGGAGAUGUCAGCGCAAGCGAAGCAUUGAAUUGAAGCCCCGGUAAACGGCGGCCGUAACUAUAACGGUCCUAAGGUAGCGAAAUUCCUUGUCAGGUAAGUUCUGACCCGCACGAAUGGCGUAAUGAUUUGGGCACUGUCUCAACAGCCCGCCCGGCGAAAUUGUAGUACUGGUGAAGAUGCCAGUUACCCGCAACUAGACGGAAAGACCCCAUGGAGCUUUACUGCAGCUUAAUACUGAAAUUCGGUAGUACAUGUACAGGAUAGGUGGGAGACUGAGAAAUACAGGCGUCAGCUUGUAUGGAGUCGCUGUUGGGAUACCACUCUUGUACUGCUGGGUUUCUAACCUGCGGCCGUGAAUCCGGUCGGGGGACACUGUUAGGCGGGCAGUUUGACUGGGGCGGUCGCCUCCAAAAGAGUAACGGAGGCGCUCAAAGGUCAGCUCAGCAUGGAUGGAAACCAUGCAAGUGAGUGCAAACGCAAAAGCUGGCCUAACUGCGAGACUGACGGGUCGAGCAGUAACGAAAGUUGGAGUUAGUGAUCC